GGUGACCUUCGGAGCUUGCUCCGGGGUGAUCAGUGGCGAACGGGUGAGUAACACGUGAGUAACCUGCCCCAGACUCUGGGAUAACUUCGGGAAACCGUAGCUAAUACCGGAUACGACACGGAGACGCAUGCCUACCGUGUGGAAAGUUUUUCGGUCUGGGAUGGACUCGCGGCCUAUCAGCUUGUUGGUGAGGUAAUGGCUCACCAAGGCGACGACGGGUAGCCGGCCUGAGAGGGCGAUCGGCCACACUGGGACUGAGACACGGCCCAGACUCCUACGGGAGGCAGCAGUGGGGAAUAUUGCACAAUGGGCGCAAGCCUGAUGCAGCGACGCCGCGUGAGGGAUGACGGCCUUUGGGUUGUAAACCUCUUUCAGCAGGGAAGAAGCGCAAGUGACGGUACCUGCAGAAGAAGCACCGGCUAACUACGUGCCAGCAGCCGCGGUAAUACGUAGGGUGCGAGCGUUGUCCGGAAUUAUUGGGCGUAAAGAGCUUGUAGGCGGUUUGUCGCGUCUGCUGUGAAAAUCCGGGGCUCAACCCCGGACUUGCAGUGGGUACGGGCAGACUAGAGUGUGGUAGGGGAGACUGGAAUUCCUGGUGUAGCGGUGAAAUGCGCAGAUAUCAGGAGGAACACCGAUGGCGAAGGCAGGUCUCUGGGCCAUUACUGACGCUGAGAAGCGAAAGCAUGGGGAGCGAACAGGAUUAGAUACCCUGGUAGUCCAUGCCGUAAACGUUGGGAACUAGGUGUGGGCCUCAUUCCACGAGGUCCGUGCCGCAGCUAACGCAUUAAGUUCCCCGCCUGGGGAGUACGGCCGCAAGGCUAAAACUCAAAGGAAUUGACGGGGGCCCGCACAAGCGGCGGAGCAUGCGGAUUAAUUCGAUGCAACGCGAAGAACCUUACCAAGGCUUGACAUACACCGGAAACAUCCAGAGAUGGGUGCCCCGCAAGGUCGGUGUACAGGUGGUGCAUGGUUGUCGUCAGCUCGUGUCGUGAGAUGUUGGGUUAAGUCCCGCAACGAGCGCAACCCUCGUUCUAUGUUGCCAGCACGUGAUG
Molecule: ribosomal RNA, 1052 nt
Filed under: Lapillicoccus sp. LB7-6
Lineage: Bacteria; Bacillati; Actinomycetota; Actinomycetes; Micrococcales; Intrasporangiaceae
Description: bacterial SSU rRNA
Rfam family: Bacterial small subunit ribosomal RNA
Source: RNAcentral